Molecule: ribosomal RNA, 403 nt
Filed under: Fusobacteriota bacterium
Lineage: Bacteria; Fusobacteriati; Fusobacteriota
Description: Fusobacteria bacterium partial 16S ribosomal RNA
Rfam family: Bacterial small subunit ribosomal RNA
Source: RNAcentral
UGGGGAAUAUUGCACAAUGGAGGGAACUCUGAUGCAGCGACGCCGCGUGAACGAAGAAGGCUUUCGAGUCGUAAAGUUCUUUUAUAUGGGAAGAUAAUGACGGUACCAUAAGAAAAAGCCCCGGCUAACUACGUGCCAGCAGCCGCGGUAAUACGUAGGGGGCUAGCGUUGUCCGGAAUCACUGGGCGUAAAGGGUUCGCAGGCGGAAAUGCAAGUCAGGUGUAAAAGGCAGUAGCUUAACUACUGUAAGCAUUUGAAACUGCAUAUCUUGAGAAGAGUAGAGGUAAGUGGCAUUUUUAGUGUAGCGGUGAAAUGCGUAGAUAUUAAAAAGAAUACCGGUGGCGAAGGCGACUUACUGGGCUCAUUCUGACGCUGAGGAACGAAAGCGUGGGUAGCAAACAGG